UGGGGAAUUUUGGACAAUGGGCGAAAGCCUGAUCCAGCAAUGCCGCGUGAGUGAAGAAGGCCUUCGGGUUGUAAAGCUCUUUUGUCAGGGAAGAAACGGUGUGGGCUAAUAUCCUGCACUAAUGACGGUACCUGAAGAAUAAGCACCGGCUAACUACGUGCCAGCAGCCGCGGUAAUACGUAGGGUGCAAGCGUUAAUCGGAAUUACUGGGCGUAAAGCGUGCGCAGGCGGUUUUGUAAGUUUGUCGUGAAAGCCCCGGGCUCAACCUGGGAAUUGCGAUGAAGACUGCAAGGCUUGAAUCUGGCAGAGGGGGGUAGAAUUCCACGUGUAGCAGUGAAAUGCGUAGAGAUGUGGAGGAACACCGAUGGCGAAGGCAGCCCCCUGGGUCAAGAUUGACGCUCAUGCACGAAAGCGUGGGGAGCAAACA
This 427-nucleotide ribosomal RNA is filed under the name uncultured Oxalobacteraceae bacterium. RNAcentral describes it as "bacterial SSU rRNA". It matches the Rfam family "Bacterial small subunit ribosomal RNA", at positions 355 to 774 of the family's 1533-position model. Lineage: Bacteria; Pseudomonadati; Pseudomonadota; Betaproteobacteria; Burkholderiales; Oxalobacteraceae. The record is from RNAcentral.